CCUACGGGAGGCAGCAGUAGGGAAUAUUGGGCAAUGGGCGAAAGCCUGACCCAGCAACGCCGCGUGUACGAUGAAGGUCUUCGGAUCGUAAAGUACUUUUCUGGGAGAUGAGAAAGGACUGUAUCCCAGGAAUAAGCUUCGGCUAACUACGUGCCAGCAGCCGCGGUAAAACGUAGGAAGCGAGCGUUAUCCGGAUUUACUGGGCGUAAAGCGCGUGUAGGCGGUCUGAUAAGUUGGAUGUGAAAUCUCCUGGCUCAACUGGGAGGGGUCGUUCAAAACUAUCAGACUAGAGGACAGUAGAGGAAGGUGGAAUUCCCGGUGUAGUGGUGAAAUGCGUAGAUAUCGGGAGGAACACCAGUGGCGAAAGCGGCCUUCUGGACUGUAUCUGACGCUCAGACGCGAAAGCUAGGGGAGCGAACGGGAUUAGAGACCCCGGUAGUCCUAGCUGUAAACGAUGUAGACUUGGCGUCGGUGGGUUCAAAGCCAUCGGUGCCGAAGCUAACGCGAUAAGUCUACCGCCUGGGGACUACGGCCGCAAGGUUAAAACUCAAAGGAAUUGACGG
RNAcentral lists this ribosomal RNA (563 nucleotides) under uncultured bacterium. RNAcentral's name for it is "bacterial SSU rRNA". It matches the Rfam family "Bacterial small subunit ribosomal RNA", at positions 338 to 916 of the family's 1533-position model. The record is from RNAcentral.